GCUUGGUAUAGUGGUUUGAAUGUUUGAUUACAACUCUGGAGACCAGGGUUCAAAUUCCUGCUCAGCA
RNAcentral lists this transfer RNA (67 nucleotides) under Phrynosoma platyrhinos (Desert horned lizard). Its description in RNAcentral is "tRNA-OTHER". Lineage: Eukaryota; Metazoa; Chordata; Lepidosauria; Squamata; Phrynosomatidae. The record is from RNAcentral.